UACAGGGGGGGCAAGCGUUGUUCGGAAUUACUGGGCGUAAAGGGCUCGUAGGCGGCCUGCUAAGUCGGACGUGAAAUCCCUCGGCUUAACCGGGGAACUGCGUCUGAUACUGGAUGGCUUGAGUUUGGGAGAGGGACGCGGAAUUCCAGGUGUAGCGGUGAAAUGCGUAGAUAUCUGGAGGAACACCGGUGGCGAAGGCGGCGUCCUGGACCAACACUGACACUGAGGAGCGAAAGCCAGGGGAGCAAACGGG
This 253-nucleotide ribosomal RNA is filed under the name uncultured bacterium. RNAcentral describes it as "partial 16S ribosomal RNA". It matches the Rfam family "Bacterial small subunit ribosomal RNA", at positions 524 to 776 of the family's 1533-position model. The record is from RNAcentral.